AGAAUAUAAGAAACCGUCUCUUAACUUUUAACUAAAAAAACUAAGAACCGGCUCUUAAAUAAGAUAUUUAAGAGCCGGUUUUAUUUUUUUUAGUUAAAAGUUAAGAGAUGGUUUCUUAUAUUCC
Brassica napus (rape) is the source of this 124-nucleotide non-coding RNA. NCBI's taxonomy places the organism in Eukaryota, Viridiplantae, Streptophyta, Magnoliopsida, Brassicales, Brassicaceae. The record is from Rfam.